Molecule: long non-coding RNA, 464 nt
Organism: Gymnogyps californianus (California condor)
Lineage: Eukaryota; Metazoa; Chordata; Aves; Accipitriformes; Cathartidae
Exons: 4
Source: RefSeq, a predicted model, not a curated record
CGCGGCGGGGCAGGGCCCCCCCCCUCCUCGCCCGGCACCGCGCCGAGGCCGACUGAGGUACAUCCUCUGCGAGGAGCUGCUUCGGAGGAGCUUCCAGAGUCAGGCCUGAGAGCAGAUGAACAAGGCAGAACGGAGAGAAGGUGGCGAUAGCUCAGUUUAUGCCAGAUGCAAUUUUUUCUGAGGAAGGAACUGCAGAUAACUAGGGCAGGAGCCCUCAGCCCGGGUGCAGGCAGAGCAGCGAUCUAUCCCCGCUCCCCGCCGGCCAGCCCUCCGCAGGCAGCCGCAGCGCUUUCUCUUUUCAUGCACCAACUAGCACGCACCCUCUGUGGCUUCCUGCCCUCCUGUCCCACAGCCAGGACGGGGCCUUAAACAACUUCUAACGCCGGGCUGGGCGAUGGGGAGACUGGCCAGGCUGGUGGUGGGUCCGUUCUGUGCCUGGAACUGUACAGGAGGUGGUCCAUCUG